GGGGGCGACCGGCUUCGACGGGGAUCAUGACGCCAGGGUGGCAUGCCGAGCUCCGGGAACUCGUAAAAGUCCGGAAACAACAACAGCCAACCAAGAACUGGCACUCGCCG
RNAcentral lists this transfer-messenger RNA (110 nucleotides) under Nitrospirales bacterium. RNAcentral describes it as "partial transfer-messenger RNA". It matches the Rfam family "transfer-messenger RNA", at positions 1 to 123 of the family's 374-position model. Rfam says of the family: Bacterial tmRNA, also known as 10Sa RNA or SsrA, is named for its dual tRNA and mRNA-like properties. Its role is to liberate the mRNA from a stalled ribosome. To accomplish this part of the tmRNA is used as a reading frame that ends in a translation stop signal. Lineage: Bacteria; Pseudomonadati; Nitrospirota; Nitrospiria; Nitrospirales. The record is from RNAcentral.